Molecule: non-coding RNA, 33 nt
Filed under: unclassified sequences
Description: DUF805b RNA
Rfam family: DUF805b RNA
About the family: Bacteroidetes, Chlorobi (1 example), Proteobacteria.
Source: RNAcentral
CAAGAGGAAGCCGAAAAUCUUAAAGAGUAGGCA